AAAAAAAAACUGCACAGAUCUCAUCUUCAAUGUUCUCAUGCCAAACAAAUCAAAUCAUCACAAUCAAAGUCACAGAGUUUAGAUCUCUUUUGACACAAGUUAAACAGGUGAUAUAAGAGCUUAUUCUUUCAUCUCAAGAACUACAAUUAUCAGCAUCAUCUUAACCUUCACUUGUCAAGGAGGUCUAAUCAUAUUCCAAUUCAUCAGGGGUAACUGGCCGUUUGAGUGGAAUGAUGGACUUCUUCUCAACAUCCCUUGAUAAAGCUUUCCUCAUAUCUAAAUGCAGAGCACAACAGAAUAAAUAUCAGAGGCAAUGAAAGUAAUAUUUCUGUACAUCAAAACAUUAAAUGUGUUACAUCUUUCCACCUGGCAAUAUUUGAACUUGAGACCCCUUAAUGAGAUCCCAAUGCUUUAUUGCUAGGCUAUCUGUCUAGGGGAAACGGGGGAUGGAAGUUCAAUUAAAAGGAAAUAAAGAUGUUUCAGGCAGCUGUGGAAACUCACCUAACCCGUCUUCCUCCCCUGAGUAAUAGCGUAGCACUCGUCUAUAGAUUACAUACCCAAGCUUGUCAUACAUCUUUAUAGCAGGUGUAUUUGAUGCUCUAACAAAAAGAUCCACAAAGUAUGCUUUAUCACUGCAAAAUAAAAGUUGUAAAUAGAAAGAUUCUUAAACCAAUGCUAGUUAGGAUGUCAUACAAUUUACAAAGUGAAGAUGCAAUCAAACAAAAGCCUUAACCAAAUCCAAUUAAUUCCAUCUAAGACAUAAUGUUGUAUAACUGUCCUUAAAUCAAACAGUAAGGCAACAGGAGAAGAAAAUGUCUUAAAUGCCAUAAAGAGGUUCUGGGCUACACUAAUUUGUCAACUCAAUGUAACUGGAAAGCAAUAUAGUUUGCAAGGAGAAGUCAACUAUGCAGCAUAAAUUGAGAAUUAUUGUCUUACCCACAAAAGUAUAUUUCAAAGGACCUCAUAAGACUUCACUUGUCAUCUUAAGUAACUAAUACCAACAGAAAAGAAAACAAUGUGCUAAAAACCGAACCUCUCAUUGUUUUUUAAAGCUUUCCAGAAAUAGUUUCUACAUACUUGUAAGAUUAUAUCUAAUUGAAAAUAAAAUAAUAUGCUACAGCUCCAUUGUAAUCUAAAUCACCUCCCCCAUCUCUCUCUCUCUCU
This 1164-nucleotide unclassified non-coding RNA is filed under the name Hevea brasiliensis (rubber tree). The record is from RNAcentral. Lineage: Eukaryota; Viridiplantae; Streptophyta; Magnoliopsida; Malpighiales; Euphorbiaceae.